AACGGUGGCUAUAGGGCGGGUGAACACCUCUUCCCAUUCCGAACAGAGUCGUUAAGCCCCGCACCGCCAAUGGUACUGCAUGAGUGAUUGUGUGGGAGAGUAGGUAGCUGCCGGUC
RNAcentral lists this ribosomal RNA (116 nucleotides) under Cyclobacteriaceae bacterium. The record is from RNAcentral. Lineage: Bacteria; Pseudomonadati; Bacteroidota; Cytophagia; Cytophagales; Cyclobacteriaceae.